AUUUUGAUAGUUCUCAGUUGGUAGAGCGAAGGACUGUAGUUCCUUAGAUAGCUGGUUCGAACCCAGCUUGUAAGA
Molecule: transfer RNA, 75 nt
Filed under: Paramuricea clavata
Lineage: Eukaryota; Metazoa; Cnidaria; Anthozoa; Malacalcyonacea; Plexauridae
Rfam family: tRNA
About the family: Transfer RNA (tRNA) molecules are approximately 80 nucleotides in length.
Source: Rfam by way of RNAcentral